AAGAGAUGAAACAACAAAGUUUCAAACAGAAAUUACAGGGAAAACAAAAGCAAAACGAGUCGAAAAGCAGUAAUUUCUCCAAGCCAAUGUCGGGUGCAACUGCAACCAAUUUGCAAAAGAAGCAGCCACAAAUGAACCAACCAGCUAUUAGUGGGAAAGGCCCCACAGAACAUAUUGAUAUCAACACAUGAUGGUAAGCACCAC
Long non-coding RNA from Hibiscus syriacus, 204 nucleotides. RefSeq lists it as uncharacterized. Lineage: Eukaryota; Viridiplantae; Streptophyta; Magnoliopsida; Malvales; Malvaceae. The record is from RefSeq and is a predicted model, not a curated record. The transcript is spliced from 2 exons.